UACGGAGGGAGCUAGCGUUGUUCGGAAUUACUGGGCGUAAAGCGCGCGUAGGCGGCUUUGUAAGUUAGAGGUGAAAGCCCGGAGCUCAACUCCGGAACUGCCUUUAAAACUGCAUCGCUUGAAUCCAGGAGAGGUGAGUGGAAUUCCGAGUGUAGAGGUGAAAUUCGUAGAUAUUGGGAAGAACACCUGAGGCGAAGGCGGGUUGCUGGGCCGACACUGACGCUGAGGCGCGAAAGCCAGGGGAGCGAACGGG
Molecule: ribosomal RNA, 253 nt
Filed under: uncultured bacterium
Lineage: Bacteria
Description: partial 16S ribosomal RNA
Rfam family: Bacterial small subunit ribosomal RNA
Source: RNAcentral